Molecule: long non-coding RNA, 308 nt
Organism: Rhinichthys klamathensis goyatoka
Lineage: Eukaryota; Metazoa; Chordata; Actinopteri; Cypriniformes; Leuciscidae
Exons: 2
Source: RefSeq, a predicted model, not a curated record
ACUACUGGCAUCUGGCUGAAGUAUCUGUCACAUGGACAGACGUCAUUCACCAGCGGUUUUGCAUUGCUUGAGUGGUGCUUUCACUGUGUUUAGAGAAAGCAUGGAAACGCGUGACUAUGGUAAAGUGUAGAAGCUUUGUGAUUAAGAAGUUCAUGCCUCUCCAUAUUGGACAGCUAGUACGCCACUCAACAUGAUGGCAAACUCCAGAACUGAGAGUGAUAUCCAGCAACAAGAACUGGAUCAAAUGUAUCAUUAUGAAGGAUUAUGCAUAACUCAUCUCAUUGUGUAUUAAACUAUUUUAUACCAUG